RNAcentral lists this unclassified non-coding RNA (441 nucleotides) under Hevea brasiliensis (rubber tree). Lineage: Eukaryota; Viridiplantae; Streptophyta; Magnoliopsida; Malpighiales; Euphorbiaceae. The record is from RNAcentral.
AAUUGAUAGAAAAACAGAUAUUAUAACUUUUAUAAAACUAAAAUGCAACAACUGAGCAACUUUUCACAUACCUUACUAGCGUAAGUAAAAAAAACUUAUUGGUAAAUAAUUCAACGUGACUCACUAAAGCAUAGGUUAAAAAAUUUAUUGCUAUUUAGAGCAUAGAAACACAUAUCAUCAUCAAUAGUAAGUGAUGAGAACUGGUAGAACUCUAACCAAAGUCAUCAUCCUAAGCACACGCUAAAUAAUCCAAACACCCACCUUUAAUUGCGGACAGACUCCAAUUCAAAUUAGAAGAUUAUCAGCAAACAAUGUAUAUCUAAACAACAACAACUAAGUCUUGACCCCAAACUUGUUGGGGUUGACUACAUGCAUUUUUUUUGCCAUUUAGCUCUUCUGGACAUCAAGUCCGCAAAACAAUGUUUAUCAAAAAAAAGGUAC